GCUAUACAUGCAAGUCGAACGAACGGAGGAAGAGCUUGCUCUUCCAAAGUUAGUGGCGGACGGGUGAGUAACACGUGGGCAACCUGCCUGUAAGUUGGGGAUAACUCCGGGAAACCGGGGCUAAUACCGAAUGAUAAAGUGUGGCGCAUGCCACGCUUUUGAAAGAUGGUUUCGGCUAUCGCUUACAGAUGGGCCCGCGGUGCAUUAGCUAGUUGGUAGGGUAAUGGCCUACCAAGGCAACGAUGCAUAGCCGACCUGAGAGGGUGAUCGGCCACACUGGGACUGAGACACGGCCCAGACUCCUACGGGAGGCAGCAGUAGGGAAUCUUCCGCAAUGGACGAAAGUCUGACGGAGCAACGCCGCGUGUAUGAAGAAGGUUUUCGGAUCGUAAAGUACUGUUGUUAGAGAAGAACAAGGAUAAGAGUAACUGCUUGUCCCUUGACGGUAUCUAACCAGAAAGCCACGGCUAACUACGUGCCAGCAGCCGCGGUAAUACGUAGGUGGCAAGCGUUGUCCGGAUUUAUUGGGCGUAAAGCGCGCGCAGGCGGUCUUUUAAGUCUGAUGUGAAAGCCCCCGGCUUAACCGGGGAGGGUCAUUGGAACUGGAAGACUGGAGUGCAGAGAGGAGAGUGGAUUCCACGUGUAGCGUG
This 650-nucleotide ribosomal RNA is filed under the name Listeria monocytogenes. RNAcentral describes it as "bacterial SSU rRNA". It matches the Rfam family "Bacterial small subunit ribosomal RNA", at positions 48 to 682 of the family's 1533-position model. Lineage: Bacteria; Bacillati; Bacillota; Bacilli; Caryophanales; Listeriaceae. The record is from RNAcentral.